This 66-nucleotide transfer RNA is filed under the name Pseudoligosita yasumatsui. Its description in RNAcentral is "tRNA-Ser". Lineage: Eukaryota; Metazoa; Arthropoda; Insecta; Hymenoptera; Trichogrammatidae. The record is from RNAcentral.
AAUUAUUUAACUAUACCCAAGUGUAUGUUUUGAAAACAUAAAAAAAGGUUUUUACCUUAAUAAUUU